Molecule: unclassified non-coding RNA, 328 nt
Filed under: soil metagenome
Description: partial contains 5.8S ribosomal RNA, internal transcribed spacer 2, and large subunit ribosomal RNA
Rfam family: 5.8S ribosomal RNA (bases 1-120)
Source: RNAcentral
GAUGAAGAACGCAGCGAAAUGCGAUAAGUAAUGUGAAUUGCAGAAUUCAGUGAAUCAUCGAAUCUUUGAACGCACAUUGCGCCCCCUGGUAUUCCGGGGGGCAUGCCUGUCCGAGCGUCAUUACAACCCUCAAGCUCAGCUUGGUGUUGGGCCCCGCCGCCCCGGCGGGCCCUAAAGUCAGUGGCGGUGCCGUCCGGCUCCGAGCGUAGUAAUUCUUCUCGCUCUGGAGGCCCGGUCGUGUGCUCGCCAGCAACCCCCAAUUUUUUUCAGGUUGACCUCGGAUCAGGUAGGGAUACCCGCUGAACUUAAGCAUAUCAAUAACGGAGGA